GGCGGUAUGCUUAACACAUGCAAGUCGAACGGAGUACUUCGGUACUUAGUGGCGGACGGGUGAGUAACGCGUGAGAAUCUACCUUUAGGACGGGGACAACAAUUGGAAACGAUUGCUAAUACCCGAUAUGCCCUUCGGGGUGAAAUGUUUUAUCGCCUGAAGAUGAGCUCGCGUCCGAUUAGCUAGUAGGUAGUGUAAUGGACUACCUAGGCGAUGAUCGGUAGCUGGUUUGAGAGGACAAUCAGCCACACUGGGACUGAGACACGGCCCAGACUCCUACGGGAGGCAGCAGUGGGGAAUUUUCCGCAAUGGGCGCAAGCCUGACGGAGCAAUACCGCGUGGGGGAGGAAGGUCUGUGGAUUGUAAACCCCUUUUCUCAGGGAAGAAGCUCUGACGGUACCUGAGGAAUCAGCAUCGGCUAACUCCGUGCCAGCAGCCGCGGUAAUACGGAGGAUGCAAGCGUUAUCCGGAAUUAUUGGGCGUAAAGCGUCCGCAGGCGGCUAGAUAAGUCUGCUUUCAAAGAGUGGGGCUCAACCCCAUAGGGGGAGUGGAAACUGUUUAGCUAGAGUAUGGUAGGGGCAGAGGGAAUUCCCAGUGUAGCGGUGAAAUGCGUAGAUAUUGGGAAGAACACCAGUGGCGAAGGCGCUCUGCUGGACCGAGACUGACGCUGAGGGACGAAAGCUAGGGGAGCGAAAGGGAUUAGAUACCCCUGUAGUCCUAGCUGUAAACGAUGGACACUAGGUGUUGCGCGUAUCGACCCGUGCAGUGCCGUAGCUAACGCGUUAAGUGUCCCGCCUGGGGAGUACGCACGCAAGUGUGAAACUCAAAGGAAUUGACGGGGGCCCGCACAAGCGGUGGAGUAUGUGGUUUAAUUCGAUGCAACGCGAAGAACCUUACCAGGGUUUGACAUCCCUCGAAUCUCUGCGAAAGUGGAGAGUGCCUUCGGGAGCGAGGAGACAGGUGGUGCAUGGCUGUCGUCAGCUCGUGUCGUGAGAUGUUGGGUUAAGUCCCGCAACGAGCGCAACCCACGUUUUCAGUUGCCAGCAUUAAGUUGGGGACUCUGGAGAGACUGCCGGUGACAAACCGGAGGAAGGUGUGGACGACGUCAAGUCAUCAUGCCCCUUACAUCCUGGGCUACACACGUACUACAAUGGUUAGGACAAAGGGCAGCGAAGCCGCGAGGUGGAGCAAAACUCAUAAACCUAGCCUCAGUUCAGAUUGCAGGCUGCAACUCGCCUGCAUGAAGGAGGAAUCGCUAGUAAUCGCAGGUCAGCAUACUGCGGUGAAUACGUUCCCGGGCCUUGUACACACCGCCCGUCACACCAUGGGAGUUGGCCACGCCCGAAGUCGUUACCCUAACCGUUCGCGGAGGGGGACGCCGAAGGUGGGGCUGAUGACUGGGGUGAAGUCGUAACAAGGUAGCCGUACCGGAAGGUGUGGCUGGAUCACCUCCUUAAGGGAGACCUUACCCACUUUCAGCCGAAAGCACAAAGCGAUUAAGCGAAAGUCUGGUCAACCGAGGUCGUUCGAGGAAUUGAUGAGGCUUCCAGACUAGAGUCUAGUUCUUUUACAGGCCAAGCCGCUCGUCCAGGCUGAGUCUGUAAAGAGUAGAGACUGUUGAUAAGGCAGUGGGCUAUUAGCUCAGGUGGUUAGAGCGCACCCCUGAUAAGGGUGAGGUCCCUGGUUCGAGUCCAGGAUGGCCCACCUUCACAGUAGAUGCAUCAGCACCUAUCACCAAACCUUUCAACAAAACGAGCAUCUCAGCACCCACAAGCAAGAAACAGUUCUUUCUGCUUAGGACUGCUGAGCCUAGCUCAGCGAGAACCUUGAAAACUGCAUAACAAAAGCCAAGAAAUCUAAAGAGUCUGGAGUAGUCCAGGUUUUCAUGCCGAGGCUGAGGAGCUGAGCGAUCAGCGACGAGGCUAGAGGUAUGGGAGCUUGAAUUCCUAGACGUCGAGCAAGAAAAGCGAAAGUUGGUCAAGCUACAAAGGGCUUACGGUGGAUACCUAGGCACGUAGAGGCGAAGAAGGACGUGGUUACCGACGAAACGCUCCGGGGAGCUGGAAACGAGCAUUGAUCCGGAGGUGUCCGAAUGGGGCAACCCUAAACACGACUUGCUGAAUCCAUAGGCAAGAGCGAGCGAACCCGGCGAACUGAAACAUCUUAGUAGCCGGAGGAAGAGAAAGCAAAAGCGAUUCCCUCAGUAGCGGCGAGCGAACGGGGACCAGCCUAAACCAGUGGUUUUAACCACUGGGGUUGUGGGACAGCGGAAAGGACUUGGCGGAUUAAGCGAAAUAGCUGAGAACUAUGCCAAAGAAGGUGAAAGCCCUGUAGUUGAAAAUCCAAAGAGCCUGGCUGAAUCCCGAGUAGGUCGGGGCACGUGAAAUCCCGAUUGAAUCCGCGAGGACCACCUCGUAAGGCUAAAUACUCCUACGUGACCGAUAGCGAACAAGUACCGCGAGGGAAAGGUGAAAAGAACCCCGGGAGGGGAGUGAAAUAGACCAUGAAACCGUAAG
This 2516-nucleotide ribosomal RNA is filed under the name Klisinema sp. Espan. RNAcentral describes it as "partial contains 16S ribosomal RNA, 16S-23S ribosomal RNA intergenic spacer, and 23S ribosomal RNA". The stretch from base 1 to 1456 matches the Rfam family "Bacterial small subunit ribosomal RNA". Lineage: Bacteria; Bacillati; Cyanobacteriota; Cyanophyceae; Desertifilales; Desertifilaceae. The record is from RNAcentral.